UGGAAAUUAGAUGAUCAGACUACAGUGGAUGGUUAAAAUGAACUCCAAGAAUUUAGAUAAAUAAGGCUGAAGAAUGUGGUCCACAGUGAAACUUAAUCCCCGAGGUGUUACUGUCUCUCCAUGCCUGCAUGUGGAUCUCACCAUUCCUCUAGUCCUGGUGCUUGCUUUCAACACAGAGCUCUGGACUGCAAGGCAUUUGAUUUCUGGUUCUUUCAAUAUUCAAGUUGGAAGAGAGAAUAUGAAC
Long non-coding RNA from Pan paniscus (pygmy chimpanzee), 244 nucleotides. The record is from Ensembl. NCBI's taxonomy places the organism in Eukaryota, Metazoa, Chordata, Mammalia, Primates, Hominidae.